Molecule: ribosomal RNA, 1187 nt
Filed under: Triticum aestivum (bread wheat)
Lineage: Eukaryota; Viridiplantae; Streptophyta; Magnoliopsida; Poales; Poaceae
Description: partial small subunit ribosomal RNA
Source: RNAcentral
GGUGAGGGGCGUCAAAGACCUGGAUAAGAUUGACGUUUGCCCCGUUCGCUACCCUCCAAAGCCGCCGCUCGCCAUCGACGCACGCCGCAACCAGGCCGGGGCAAAAGGCCGCCGCCCCAGCUCCGCCCAUCACGACUCCCUCCGAAGCACCGACCACCACCGGAGGAGCCGGCCGGCGGGGCGCCCUCCGAAGCGCCGUACCACCAAUCGGACGUGGAACGCCCAUUGGAGCUGCUGCAACUAGUGAUACCUAUCGAGCUGUUCAAGUGGCUCCUCCGUAAAAAUGGAGGCGGUACAACACAAAGAGAGAGCAGAACUUGCUGCCUCCGUCGCCAAGCCGGCGAGCCACUAGAGCCACACGUAUCUCCUCCCGACACACAGCGCCGCCGUCGGUUGUCCUCUACGUCGCCGAGCUGGAGGAGACACUGGAGUAGAGGUCAACUUUAACUGUUCCGACGGAGGGACUUGAGCGCGGCCGACCUUAGUUAACGCCGGAUCCAUUGAGUCGCGGUGAUCUCGAAGUCCACGGAGUGUUCAGUGUUCUUUAGUUUUCAAGAUAGUAGUUUAAAAUCAGCUGCUCCAUUUAGGACGAUCGGUGCACACAGUACCGCCGCCGCCGAGCGGCGGUGGUAAGGGUAAAGUAGAAACGAGACGUUCCAUUAUCUUCCUCCCGAGAUUACCCUUACUACGAACGGUGGGGGUGGAAGUACUGACGAGGUCUAGGUAAGUUCCACCAGUAGUGACAAUUUAGCAGGUCACUCGAGUCAUGGCAGGAUGAGAGGGAUUUUACGUGUCAACGUCUUUGUUGUAGAUAACACGUGGUUUUUCCUAUUAACGGGUACACAUUUUACUCUAAAUAUAUAGUUUUCAAAAACAGACAACUAUAAAACCGCCAAGAGAAGGGAAGACGUGACGACGACCUUCACUACUCUCUUAAACACGUAUGUCAACACCAGUAAUCAUUUAUAUAGUAAGCUCAACUUUCCAACCUCGCAUACGUAAUUGUAAAAGUUCACCUAUGAAACCGUGAACUAAAAUAUUAGUAAACUUUAGGCUUAUAGUGCAACGUAACACUAUAAAGAUUGACUUUUAAAAGUGAUAAUCAAUACGUAUAAAACCACCUUAAAGAUUGUGACAACAAGAAAGUUCGUAUAUUACAAGAAAUCUUUAAAUUAUCAAGUAUGACC